AACGAACGCUGGCGGCAUGCCUAACACAUGCAAGUCGAACGGAACCUUCGGGUCUAGUGGCGCACGGGUGCGUAACGCGUGGGAACCUGCCCUUAAGUUCGGAAUAACUCCCCGGAAGGGGUGCUAAUACCGGAUAAUGUCUUCCGACCAAAGAUUGAACGCCUUUGGGUGGGCGCGCGGUGGAUUCGCUAGUUGGUAGCGUAAAAGCCUACCAAGGCGUGGAUCCAUAGAUGGUCUGAGAGGCUGAUCAGCCACACUGGGAGGGAGAAACGGCCCAGACUCUUACGCGAGGCAGCAGUGGGGAAUAUUGGACAAUGGGGGGUAGGCUGAUGCAGCAAGGACGCGUGAGCGCUGAAGGCCGGAGGGAUGUAAAGUUCGUUUAUCCGGGACGAUAAUGACAGUACCGGGAGAAUAAGCUCCGGCUAACUCCGUG
RNAcentral lists this ribosomal RNA (433 nucleotides) under uncultured bacterium. Its description in RNAcentral is "partial 16S ribosomal RNA". It matches the Rfam family "Bacterial small subunit ribosomal RNA", at positions 29 to 507 of the family's 1533-position model. The record is from RNAcentral.